AUUGAACGCUGGCGGCACGCCUUACACAUGCAAGUCGAACGGCAGCGGGGGAGAAGCUUGCUUUUCCUGCCGGCGAGUGGCGAACGGGUGAGUAAUACAUCGGAACGUGCCCUGUAGUGGGGGAUAACUAGUCGAAAGAUUAGCUAAUACCGCAUACGACCUGAGGGUGAAAGUGGGGGACCGCAAGGCCGCAUGCUAUAGGAGCGGCCGAUGUCUGAUUAGCUAGUUGGUGGGGUAAAGGCCUACCAAGGCGACGAUCAGUAGCUGGUCUGAGAGGACGAUCAGCCACACUGGGACUGAGACACGGCCCAGACUCCUACGGGAGGCAGCAGUGGGGAAUUUUGGACAAUGGGCGAAAGCCUGAUCCAGCAAUGCCGCGUGUGUGAAGAAGGCCUUCGGGUUGUAAAGCACUUUUGUCCGGAAAGAAAUGGCUCUGGUUAAUACCUGGGGUCGAUGACGGUACCGGAAGAAUAAGGACCGGCUAACUACGUGCCAGCCGCCGCAGUAA
Molecule: ribosomal RNA, 508 nt
Filed under: uncultured bacterium
Lineage: Bacteria
Description: partial 16S ribosomal RNA
Rfam family: Bacterial small subunit ribosomal RNA
Source: RNAcentral